Molecule: long non-coding RNA, 279 nt
Filed under: Mustela putorius furo (domestic ferret)
Lineage: Eukaryota; Metazoa; Chordata; Mammalia; Carnivora; Mustelidae
Description: lncRNA (ENSMPUG00000023928.1)
Source: RNAcentral
AGGAGGUGUCCCGCAGUUGGGGAUUGCCAGAACAGGAAGCACAAUUUCUAAUGCUCGCCGUGGCUGCUUUUAGUUUAGUUUAGGUCUAUCCUGGGGCCAGUUUCAGAGCUGCAGUUGUGAGAUAUUCCUUUCAAGAUUGAGCAUUCUCAUUCAACACAAAGGCAAACAUAACAUUUUUAAUUGCACUCGACUGAAGUUUGAGAGCUUGGUGAAGGCGGUGGAUUGUGAGGACAAUGAGUCAUUCCAGACUCUACCUGUAUCCCAAAUUGGUAAAAUAAA